This 551-nucleotide ribosomal RNA is filed under the name Polemonium carneum. RNAcentral's name for it is "eukaryotic LSU rRNA". The stretch from base 233 to 388 matches the Rfam family "5.8S ribosomal RNA". The record is from RNAcentral. Lineage: Eukaryota; Viridiplantae; Streptophyta; Magnoliopsida; Ericales; Polemoniaceae.
AACGACCCGCGAACUUGUAUUCAAAACUCGGGUGGCACGGGCGCAGUACUUCGGUACUCGCCCGUCGUCCCCUCGUCGGGAGCGCACGCACUGCCUCGGCAAUGCUUGCUCCUCCCGACACAUAAACGAACCCCGGCGCGGUAUGCGCCAAGGAAUUGUAACAAAGACAGCUUGCACGGAAGCCCCGUUCGCGGGUGCCGAAGGGCAACGCCGUCUUACACAAAAACUAAACGACUCUCGGCAACGGAUAUCUCGGCUCUCGCAUCGAUGAAGAACGUAGCGAAAUGCGAUACUUGGUGUGAAUUGCAGAAUCCCGUGAACCAUCGAGUUUUUGAACGCAAGUUGCGCCCGAAGCCAUUAGGCCAAGGGCACGUCUGCCUGGGCGUCUCACAUCGCGUCGCCCCCAACCUCAUUCUCUUCGGGAAUCACGGUUUUGGGAGCGGAAAUUGGUCUCCCGUACACGCUGCUGUGCGGUUGGCCUAAAUAAGAGUCGACGUGGACGAGCGUCACAACAAGUGGUGGUUGUUAAACCGUUGCGUUGCUGUUGUGCG